This is a long non-coding RNA of Dreissena polymorpha, 316 nucleotides long. RefSeq lists it as uncharacterized. The transcript is spliced from 3 exons. Lineage: Eukaryota; Metazoa; Mollusca; Bivalvia; Myida; Dreissenidae. The record is from RefSeq and is a predicted model, not a curated record.
GGAAUAACUGACUCGGGUCCCCCGGUCUAUAGCAGAGCAUUCAUUCUGAAACGGGAUCUUGAUAUUACGCCACUAUCUAUAUGUGUAAUCAAAGGCCGUUGCUUCUACCAGAACGCUACCAAUCCAGACAACAAUGGUUAUACCUGCUAUCCUGAAAUGGACCCUUACCACUGGAUUAAAGACUUGACAACGGGAAGAGUGCCGGGAGAUGCCUGCCUCAAGGGCUCUGGUGAGUGUGAGCUCGUGCAAGGGGGAGCCUAUUGUGACUCAUCUGGAAGAUGCCAAUGCUUCCCGGCUCAUUCCUUAUCAGGAACGG